Molecule: transfer RNA, 85 nt
Filed under: Kingella oralis
Lineage: Bacteria; Pseudomonadati; Pseudomonadota; Betaproteobacteria; Neisseriales; Neisseriaceae
Also listed under: 5 other names
Description: tRNA-Leu(tag)
Rfam family: tRNA
About the family: Transfer RNA (tRNA) molecules are approximately 80 nucleotides in length. Their secondary structure includes four short double-helical elements and three loops (D, anti-codon, and T loops).
Source: RNAcentral
GCGGAUGUGGCGAAAUUGGUAGACGCACCAGAUUUAGGUUCUGGCGCCGCAAGGUGUGAGAGUUCGAGUCUCUCCAUCCGCACCA